RNAcentral lists this ribosomal RNA (190 nucleotides) under Salmonella enterica. RNAcentral describes it as "partial 23S ribosomal RNA". It matches the Rfam family "Bacterial large subunit ribosomal RNA", at positions 1 to 191 of the family's 2925-position model. Lineage: Bacteria; Pseudomonadati; Pseudomonadota; Gammaproteobacteria; Enterobacterales; Enterobacteriaceae. The record is from RNAcentral.
GGUUAAGCGACUAAGCGUACACGGUGGAUGCCCUGGCAGUCAGAGGCGAUGAAGGGCGUGCUAAUCUGCGAUAAGCGCCGGUAAGGUGAUAUGAACCGUUAUAACCGGCGAUACCCGAAUGGGGAAACCCAGUGUGACUCGUCACACUAUCAUUAACUGAAUCCAUAGGUUAAUGAGGCGAACCGGGGGA